GUCAGUUGGCCGGAUUUGAAGUGGAAUGUGUGAAACACAUUUGACUGUUAAUAAUGAAUUUACUCAACACCAUGUGACCAUCAAACCACAACUGACAACUUGGCAUGGAAAAAUGUGUCUAUCAACCUCACUUCAAGGCAGCCGAUAUGGGACCACAAGAACUCUAUGAUCUAUCAGC
Molecule: long non-coding RNA, 178 nt
Organism: Engraulis encrasicolus (European anchovy)
Lineage: Eukaryota; Metazoa; Chordata; Actinopteri; Clupeiformes; Engraulidae
Exons: 3
Source: RefSeq, a predicted model, not a curated record